This 484-nucleotide ribosomal RNA is filed under the name uncultured bacterium. RNAcentral describes it as "partial 16S ribosomal RNA". It matches the Rfam family "Bacterial small subunit ribosomal RNA", at positions 30 to 507 of the family's 1533-position model. The record is from RNAcentral.
AUUGAACGCUGGCGGCAUGCCUAACACAUGCAAGUCGAACGGCUGAGGGGAGCUUGCUCUUGUAUUCAGUGGCGGACGGGUGAGUAAUGCAUAGGAAUCUACCCGGGAUAGGGGGAUAACCUCCCGAAACGCGCGCUAAUACCGCAUCCGUUCUGAGGUGGAAAGCGGGGGAUCUUCGGACCUCACGCUCUCUGCUGAGCCUAUGUCGGAUUAGCUAGUUGGUGGGGUAAAGGCCUACCAAGGCGACGAUCCGUAACUGGUCUGAGAGGAUGAUCCGCCACACUGGAACUGAGACACGGUCCAGACUCCUACGGGAGGCAGCAGUGGGGAAUAUUGGACAAUGGGCGAAAGCCUGAUCCAGCCAUGCCGCGUGUGUGAAGAAGGUCUUCGGAUUGUAAAGCACUUUAAGUGGGGAAGAAGGGGAGUAAGUGAAUACCUUGGCGUGUUGACGGUACCAACAGAAGAAGCACCGGCUAACUACGUG